RNAcentral lists this transfer RNA (73 nucleotides) under Candidatus Methanophagales archaeon. Its description in RNAcentral is "Methanophagales archaeon tRNA". It matches the Rfam family "tRNA". Rfam says of the family: Transfer RNA (tRNA) molecules are approximately 80 nucleotides in length. Their secondary structure includes four short double-helical elements and three loops (D, anti-codon, and T loops). Further hydrogen bonds mediate the characteristic L-shaped molecular structure. tRNAs have two regions of fundamental functional importance: the anti-codon, which is responsible for specific mRNA codon recognition, and the 3' end, to which the tRNAs corresponding amino acid is attached (by aminoacyl-tRNA synthetases). tRNAs cope with the degeneracy of the genetic code in two manners: having more than one tRNA (with a specific anti-codon) for a particular amino acid; and 'wobble' base-pairing, i.e. permitting non-standard base-pairing at the 3rd anti-codon position. Lineage: Archaea; Methanobacteriati; Methanobacteriota; Methanomicrobia; Candidatus Methanophagales. RNAcentral also lists the same sequence under 1 other name. The record is from Rfam by way of RNAcentral.
AGCCCGGUGGUGUAGUGGUCAAGCAUGUGAGACUCUGGAUCUCACGACCUCGGUUCGAAUCCGUGCCGGGCUA